RNAcentral lists this ribosomal RNA (682 nucleotides) under uncultured organism. RNAcentral's name for it is "bacterial SSU rRNA". It matches the Rfam family "Bacterial small subunit ribosomal RNA", at positions 639 to 1320 of the family's 1533-position model. The record is from RNAcentral.
GACUAGAAUUUUCUCAAGGGAGAUCGGAACUGAGGGAGGAGUAGUGAAAUGCGUUGAUACCCUCGGGAACACCAGUGGCGUAGGCGGAUCUCUGGGAGAAGAUUGACACUGAGACACGAAAGCUAGGGGAGCGAAGCAGAUUAGAGACCUGCGUAGUCCUAGCCGUAAACGCAUGCUUGCUAGCUGCAUGAAUCUACCUUCGGGUGGUAUCGUGUGGCGAAGGUAACCCGUUAAGCAAGCCGCCUGGAAAGUACGGCCGCAAGGCUGAAAUUCAAAGGAAUUGGCGGGGAGGCACACAACCAGUGGAACAUGUGGUUUAAUUCGAGACUAACCGAAGAACCUCACCAGGGUUUGACAUGUAGCUGCACGUCUUAAGAAAUUAAGACUCUCUUGAAGGUGCUACACAGGUGCUGCAUGGCUGUCGUCAGCUCGUUCCGUGAGGAGUGCCCUUAAGUGGGACAACGAGCGCAACCCCUAUUACAUGUUAGAAAUGUCAUGUAAGACUGCCUUGCCAUUUGGCGGGGAGGAAGGAGGGGCAGACGUCAAGUCCGCAUGGUCCUUAUGCCCUGGGCUACACACAUGUUACAAUGAGUACGGCAAUGAGUCUGUCGCGAGCACGUAAGUGUAAGCUAAUCUCUUAAAUGUACUCUCAGUGGGGAUUGAGGUCUGCAACUCGACCUCA